This 408-nucleotide ribosomal RNA is filed under the name uncultured bacterium. RNAcentral's name for it is "partial 16S ribosomal RNA". It matches the Rfam family "Bacterial small subunit ribosomal RNA", at positions 28 to 526 of the family's 1533-position model. The record is from RNAcentral.
GACGAACGCUGGCGGCGUGCUUAACACAUGCAAGUCGAACGAAGUGGCGAACGGGUGAGUAACGCGUAAUAAACCUGCCCUUCAGAGGGGGACAACAGUUGGAAACGACUGCUAAUACCGCAUACUGAAGGAGGGGAUUGCGUUUGAUUUGCUAGUUGGCUGGGUCACGGCCCACCAAGGCGAUGAUCAGUAGCCGGUCUGGAUGGGUGAACGGCCACAUUGGGACUUGGACACGGCCCCGUCUCCUUAGGGCGGCAGCCGUGGGGAAUCUUCCGCAAUGGACGAAAGUCCUACGGAGCAACGCCGCUUGAUUGAUGACGGCCUUCGGGUUGUAAAGCUCUUUUAAUCGGGACGCGGUACCGGAAUAGAAAGCCACGGCUAACUACGUGCCAGCAGCCGCGGUAAUAC